RNAcentral lists this ribosomal RNA (460 nucleotides) under uncultured bacterium. Its description in RNAcentral is "partial 16S ribosomal RNA". It matches the Rfam family "Bacterial small subunit ribosomal RNA", at positions 338 to 795 of the family's 1533-position model. The record is from RNAcentral.
CCUACGGGCGGCAGCAGUGAGGAAUAUUGGUCAAUGGGCGGAAGCCUGAACCAGCCAAGUAGCGUGCAGGAUGACGGCCCUACGGGUUGUAAACUGCUUUUAUACGGGAAUAACGCGCCUUACGUGUAGGGCUUGUCAUGUACCGCAUGAAUAAGGACCGGCUAAUUCUGUGCCAUCAGCCGCGGUAAUACGGAAGGGCCGGGCGUUAUCCGGAUUUAUUGGGUUUAAGGGGAGCGUAGGCCGGAUGUCAAGCGUGCUGUGAAAUGUCCGGGCUCAACCCGGGCCUUGCAGCGCGAACUGGCGUGCUUGAGUGCGCAGAAAGCAGGCGGAAUUCGUCGUGUAGCGGUGAAAUGCUUAGAUAUGACGAAGAACCCCGAUUGCGAAGGCAGCUUGCUGCAGCGGAACUGACGCUGAUGCUCGAAAGCGCGGGUAUCGAACAGGAUUAGAUACCCUGGUAGUC